AUGUGGUGGAAGGUCGGAGACUUGAUACUUAAGAGGAAGAGGAAGGCGCCAAGAUGCACCCCCGAGUUGCUGGAAGAGCUUGUUCUAGAGAUUCUUUUUCGGUUGCCAGUCAAAUCCCUCCUGUGGUUCAAGUCUGUCAGCAAGGCCUGGUGCACAAUAAUCUCCGACCCCGUGUUCAUCCGGAGGCACCUUCUGCGCCAGAAACCCUCCUGGCUCAUCACUCCCCAUGCUUUUGACAGUAUUAUCGAAGGAGAGGACUGGCCAACCACCUUCUCAACCCAAAUUUGCUUCUACCGGUGGCAGCUAGACGUCCCAGAUACUCCCUCCGUUUCUUUUUACUCCGCAUAUAAGAUUCGGUCAAAGUCAAACUACACAAAGUUUGACCAAAUUUGUAUAAAAAAAUAUGAACAUCUACAAUACUAA
This 423-nucleotide ribosomal RNA is filed under the name Triticum aestivum (bread wheat). RNAcentral describes it as "partial small subunit ribosomal RNA". Lineage: Eukaryota; Viridiplantae; Streptophyta; Magnoliopsida; Poales; Poaceae. The record is from RNAcentral.